Molecule: long non-coding RNA, 904 nt
Organism: Suricata suricatta (meerkat)
Lineage: Eukaryota; Metazoa; Chordata; Mammalia; Carnivora; Herpestidae
Exons: 4
Source: RefSeq, a predicted model, not a curated record
CCCAGGCUACCGAGCCUGGUGUCAACCGUUGCGCGCACACGGGGCCUGCGCGGGCCCGCGGACAGCGCGUGCACGGGAGCCGCGUCUCGUCGCAGCCCACCGAGCGCUCAGCGUGCGGCGGGUCCCACGCGUCGCCCACGCCCGCUAAGACCUCGUGCCACCCCGAACCCAAGCGGCCGGGGGGGGAGGGGGGCGGUCGGGCCCUGGGCUGGGUUGGCGUAGAGACCCGGGGACUUGGGAAUCUCUGUCCUGGACCUCACGUGUAGCCUGCAGUGGACAGCUGGGUGCAUGGCUGGGCCAGGGGACCUGGAGGCGGCAGUGGACACCGAGUACGGGCAAUGAGAAGGAGAACGGGAACAGGAUCCUGUCUGCUGCAGUGGCCACUGUAAUGCAGGCUUUCUGGAAGACUGGACCCUCCCUCCUCCACCUCCACCGGAUGUCACCAUGCGUGAAAUCCAGGCUGCCCGGAUCCCCAGUGGCUGGCGGGGUGGACUCUCGGAUGUGGAGGUGAAAACACCCUGACCUUGGGCGAGUCCCUUCACUGAGCCCGUGGUGAUGGCAGUAGUUGUACCCAGCUGCUCUGGUGACAUGCGGUGGGUGUGGCUGACACGGACACCAGCUGCCCUGAGGCAGGCAGCCUGUGUGGACGAGGAAGAAGCAGGUUCCUAAGGACGGAGGCUGCAGGGCGCAGAGAGCCUCUGCGUCUGCCCUGUGGCUGGAGAGACCAGGGGCCAGACAUCUGACUCCUCAGCGAUAAAGUCCUCCCCCAGAGGGUGGAAGUGAGGCCCAGAGAAGGCAAACAAACACCUGAGGACCUUCGUUGUGGACCACGCUGGCUGUCACGUGCAGACCCCCUGAGGACAUGGUGCCUGCCAUUCAGUUAAAAAUUUUGUUUCUUUUUGUU